UACUUUGUGUUAUGGGUUGUUUCCUCAGAGUGUUACUAGUCUGUAGAAAACACUUUUGACAUUACAGGGAAUGAGACCUACAAUUAAAUUUACACAGUGUUUUCCAUUAUAAUUUCCUGUUACCAGUACAGAUUUUAGCUUUACUGUAUUCCUUUGAACUGUAUAGAGAUUAUUUAUGUUGAGUAUCAACAAAGCUCUGAGUGGUACAGUUUCUGAGAAUGAUAUUAGGUAUUCAAGUGAUGCUACUGGUGAUUAAAAUUGAUCCCUUUUCUUAGUUCAGUUUCUUAUUUGAUAUCUUCUGAAUAGAUCAAGGUAAGGAGAAUUUAAUAAAAGUGCAAUAGUUACUUAUAUAUUAGUCUACUGGCAUAAACUGCGAGGUGCCUCAUGGAAAAAAUGUACUCAUCAACUGUGGAAACUAAAGCUUCCUUUUUUUGCUGAUGGCUGCAAAACUGAAUCAACUAAUUGACUCCAUCUAUAUUUUUACAGUUGGCUUCUACCAGAUUCUGAAGUUGUUCUUGAAUUUCUGUUUCAUGCUUCAAGAACACACUGCCUCUGAAAAUGGUCUGAUCACCAUUAUGCUGCUCCUUGUGGAUGGGAUCGAAUGACUGCCCUGUUCCCUUCACCUGUGAAAUUUCAGAGAUGACUUGAAAAGGGCCAUUGUUUCCCAGGAAUGCCAGGCCUAGUCCAGGAAAGAGAGUCCUCAUUUCAGCAGGAAUUUGGAGUCUGCUUGAGAAGGCCUCGCAGUGAGUAGGUGAAAGCUAUGGCACUUUCAUUAAACCUCUGAACAUUUAUAGUGGCUGGGCCUCGCCCUUUCUGGGCUCUUCUGCUUCCCCUGCCGAGUGGGUGGGAAGGGAAGGAGAAGGAAGGCUUCACCACUGCACCGCUGGGCCUGAGCUGUGCUCAGCCUCCGCACACAGCAUUCUCUGUUCCUGCCUCUUCCCGAGCAUUUAGAGCACUCGUGUGCUUUCAUGUGAGUAGGGCUGUGUUUGUGUGUUGGUGUAUUUGUGAGAGUGAGCAUUUGGAAAAACAUUUCUGGUAGAUGAUUGUGGUAUUUGAGUACAAGGAACAAAUACAGUGAACGCAUUCAAGUUCAGACAGAUGAUGCCUGCUUCAACAAAUUCAAUGUCACUUCUAGGGUGAAAACUGGGAACAGAAGCUAUGAGAAUACUUUGGGGUUUAAAACCAUUUGAAACACAAGCACACAAGCAACAAAAUACACUUGGACAAGCCCACAAUUUUGUUAUCUAAAUUUAAUAUCUUGUAGGAUUUCUGGGAUAUUUUGUGCAGAAUGAGUCGAGAAUGUUUGCUAGGAUGGACUGAUGAUGCUAAUAAUCCUUAUUAGGAGUAUUUGAGUUACUGUCAUGAACUCUUUAAUGCAUUGCACAGUAGAUGCAGAACGCAAAUGUGAAAUACAAAGUGAUAAUGAAUAAUAUUAUUAAAUUUGUAACCAGAUGGGUAGGGGAAAGAAAGUCUUCAAAGGGUUUUUCAACCUGUUUUUCAAAGGAAGGAAGAAUCUGACCUGAAUAUGAACUGAUGAUAAUAAGUACUGUGCUUAGUGAGCUGAAGAACUGGAAAAUUUAUUUUUUGUACAAAUACAUUUUUUCUGUUUUGGUUUCAGACCUCAUUUAAUCUCCAAAUGGUAACACUAUUGACGUUAAAUACUCAGAUUCUAAUAAACUGACUGUGACUGUUUUCUGAAAGUAUGGC
Molecule: long non-coding RNA, 1707 nt
Organism: Cyanistes caeruleus (blue tit)
Lineage: Eukaryota; Metazoa; Chordata; Aves; Passeriformes; Paridae
Source: Ensembl